This 875-nucleotide long non-coding RNA is filed under the name Fragaria vesca (wild strawberry). RNAcentral describes it as "long non-coding RNA (FVES_LNC005096)". Lineage: Eukaryota; Viridiplantae; Streptophyta; Magnoliopsida; Rosales; Rosaceae. The record is from RNAcentral.
UCAAAAAAAAAAACAGUACAUGUUUGAGACCAUGAUUAAAGCCUUAGAAAGCUACUACUAAUGGACUAGAAAACUACAACCAGGGAAAUUAGAAAACUACACAGACCUUUAAAACAGAUGUGUCAUUGGAAUUAGGGGCGGCCUUUGGGCUGUGUGUGAUAGGAGCAUAAUUAUGCGACGAUAUGAUGGUUAAUUCCCCUCUUUACUUUAUUAGUUUAUCGUAUUUUCCAUUUGAUUUAGUUAUUUUUAUGUUUAUUAGGUGUUUCGGAGCAAAGAAAGGAAUAUGAAGCAAAAGAGGAGAAAUCUUGAAGGAUUAGGAAUUCAUGUCGUGUAAGGAAAGAAUUAUGGGAUUUGCCAGAAAUUAUCAUCUAACUUCGACAGAGGAUUGUGAUCAGCUCACAUGAUCCAGACAAUGAGUUAUAUAUCAAUAGAAAGCUACAAGAGUUUACUUUCUAGAACUUUUUACGGAUCGUCAAUACCUAUUUUGUAGAAGAAGUUAUGAUCAUUUUAGUGGCCGAAGGUCAGUCUGCCCGAAUUUCUGAUUUGGACCGUAACUUCAAUUUCAAGGCCCAAUCCAAAUCAGCUGGUCCAUGGACGGAAAUUGAGGGUUCUCUAACCUAAUAUCAUCUGAUACACGAGAGGAAACGAAGAAAAAGGAGAAGUCGGGAAGAAAAGAACACAAGAAUCGGACGGAACAAGAUUGAUCUCUUCUCAAGGAUUCUCCAAGCUCGGUUAUUGUUGUCUUCCCCUUCCAUGAACUCUUUUGUGUUUUUAAUUUUCAUUAUGCGCAACUAAACUCAUAGUAGCUAGGGGGCUGUUGAAGCCCCUAGACAUGAUUCAUAACAUGCUUUGAUUUUCAAUUUGUUUUUGCAAUU